GCAGCACGGGUACUUGUACCUGGUGGCGAGCGGCGGACGGGNNNNUAAUACCUAGGAAUCUGCCUGGUAGUGGGGGAUAACGUUCGGAAACGGACGCUAAUACCGCAUACGUCCUACGGGAGAAAGCAGGGGACCUUCGGGCCUUGCGCUAUCAGAUGAGCCUAGGUCGGAUUAGCUUGUUGGUGAGGUAAUGGCUCACCAAGGCUACGAUCCGUAACUGGUCUGAGAGGAUGAUCAGUCACACUGGAACUGAGACACGGUCCAGACUCCUACGGGAGGCAGCAGUGGGGAAUAUUGGACAAUGGGCGAAAGCCUGAUCCAGCCAUGCCGCGUGUGUGAAGAAGGUCUUCGGAUUGUAAAGCACUUUAAGUUGGGAGGAAGGGCAGUUACCUAAUACGUAAUUGUUUUGACGUUACCGACAGAAUAAGCACCGGCUAACUCUGUGCCAGCAGCCGCGGUAAUACAGAGGGUGCAAGCGUUAAUCGGAAUUACUGGGCGUAAAGCGCGCGUAGGUGGUUCGUUAAGUUGGAUGUGAAAUCCCCGGGCUCAACCUGGGAACUGCAUUCAAAACUGACGGGCUAGAGUAUGGUAGAGGGUGGUGGAAUUUCCUGUGUAGCGGUGAAAUGCGUAGAUAUAGGAAGGAACACCAGUGGCGAAGGCGACCACCUGGACUGAUACUGACACUGAGGUGCGAAAGCGUGGGGGAGCAA
RNAcentral lists this ribosomal RNA (710 nucleotides) under Pseudomonadaceae bacterium 23-8aPB. RNAcentral's name for it is "bacterial SSU rRNA". It matches the Rfam family "Bacterial small subunit ribosomal RNA", at positions 66 to 771 of the family's 1533-position model. The record is from RNAcentral. Lineage: Bacteria; Pseudomonadati; Pseudomonadota; Gammaproteobacteria; Pseudomonadales; Pseudomonadaceae.